This 253-nucleotide ribosomal RNA is filed under the name uncultured bacterium. RNAcentral's name for it is "partial 16S ribosomal RNA". It matches the Rfam family "Bacterial small subunit ribosomal RNA", at positions 524 to 776 of the family's 1533-position model. The record is from RNAcentral.
GACGAACCGAGCGAACGUUGUUCGGAAUCACUGGGCUUAAAGGGCGCGUAGGCGGGCUGUCAAGUCUGGGGUGAAAUCCCGCGGCUCAACCGUGGAACUGCCUCAGAUACUGACGGCCUCGAGGGAGAUAGGGGCGAGCGGAACUAAUGGUGGAGCGGUGAAAUGCGUUGAUAUCAUUAGGAACUCCGGUGGCGAAGGCGGCUCGCUGGAUCUCUUCUGACGCUGAGGCGCGAAGGCCAGGGGAGCAAACGGG